UGAUCCAGAGUACCACGGGACACGUGAAACCCUGUGGGAAGCAGGAGGGACCACCCUCCAAGGCUAAAUACUACCUAGUGACCGAUAGCGUAUAGUACCGUGAGGGAAAGGUGAAAAGAACCCCGGGAGGGGAGUGAAAUAGAACCUGAAACCCUGCACUUACAAGCUGUGGAAGCACAUUUCUUGUGUGACCGCGUACUUUUUGUAGAACGGGCCAACGAGUUACGUUAAGUAGCAAGGUUAAGCACUUAAGGUGCGGAGCCGUAGCGAAAGCGAGUUUUAACUGAGCGUUCAGUUACUUGACGUAGACCCGAAACCGGGCGACCUACCCAUGAGCAGGAUGAAGCGAAAGUAAAAUUUCGUGGAGGUCCGAACCCACGAGCGUUGAAAAGCUCGGGGAUGACUUGUGGGUAGCGGUGAAAUUCCAAUCGAGCCCGGAGAUAGCUGGUUCUCCCCGAAAUAGCUUUAGGGCUAGCCUCAAGGUGAGAGAUACGGAGGUAGAGCACUGAAUGUCCUAGGGGGUAUUGCACCUACCGAAGACUAUCAAACUCCGAAUGCCGUCAUCUUAUACUUGGGAGUCAGACUGUGGGUGAUAAGAUUCAUAGUCGAAAGGGCAACAGCCCAGAUCGUCAGCUAAGGUCCCUAAAUGUAAGUUAAGUGGUAAAGGAUGUGGGAUUGCACAGACAACCAGGAUGUUGGCUUAGAAGCAGCCACUCAUUCAAAGAGUGCGUAAUAGCUCACUGGUCGAGUGAUCCUGCGCCGAAGAUUUCCGGGGCUAAAACUUACUACCGAAGCUACGGCAUCAGUAAUGAUGGGUAGGGGAGCUUCCCAUACGGGUUGAAGCAUGACCGUAAGGACAUGUGGACAGUAUGGGAGUGAGAAUGUUGGCAUGAGUAGCGAGAUGUGGGUGAGAAUCCCACAGGCCGUAAACCCAAGGUUUCCAGGGGAAGGUUCGUCCGCCCUGGGUUAGUCGGGACCUAAGCUGAGGCCGAAAGGCGUAGGUGAUGGACAACAGGUUGAUAUUCCUGUACUACCGAUAACCGUUUGAGAGAAGGGAUGACACAGUAGGAUAAGCUAAGCACACUGUUGGUUAUGUGUGCCCAAGCAUUGAGGCAGUCAAAGUAGGCAAAUCCGCUUUGAUAAUGCUGGGAUGUGAUGGGGAGCGAAAUUUAGUAGCGAAGUAGCUGAUUUCACACUGUCAAGAAAAGUCUCUAUCGAGGUUAAAGGUACCCGUACCGCAAACCGACACAGGUGGGUGAGGAGAGUAUCCUAAGGCCAGCGAGAGAACUGUUGUUAAGGAACUCGGCAAAAUGACCCCGUAACUUAGGGAUAAGGGGUGCCACCAUCAGGUGGCCGCAGAGAAUAGGCCCAAGCGACUGUUUACCAAAAACAUAGGUUUCUGCUAAGUCGCAAGACGAUGUAUAGGAGCUGACGCCUGCCCGGUGCUGGAAGGUUAAGGGGAUCUGUUAGAGCAAUCGAAGCAGUGAACUUAAGCCCCAGUAAACGGCGGCCGUAACUAUAACGGUCCUAAGGUAGCGAAAUUCCUUGUCGGGUAAGUUCCGACCCGCACGAAAGGCGUAACGAUUUGGGCACUGUCUCAACAACAGACUCGGUGAAAUUGUAAUUCCGGUGAAGAUGCCGGAUACCUGCGACAGGACGGAAAGACCCCAUGGAGCUUUACUGUAGCUUGACAUUGGGUCUUGGUACUACAUGUACAGGAUAGGUGGGAGGCUUUGAAACCAGGACGCCAGUUUUGGCGGAGCCAUCCUUGGGAUACCACCCUUGUAGUACUGGGACUCUAACCAUAGGCCAUGAAUCUGGUCUUGGGACACUGUCAGGUGGGCAGUUUGACUGGGGCGGUCGCCUCCCAAAAGGUAACGGAGGCGCUCAAAGGUUCUCUCAGUACGGUCGGAAAUCGUACGUAGAGUGUAAAGGCAAAAGAGAGCUUGAUUGCAAGACAUACAGGUCGAGCAAGGAUGAAAAUCGGACUUAGUGAUCCGGUGGUUCUGCGUGGAAGGGCCAUCGCUCAACGGAUAAAAGCUACCCUGGGGAUAA
RNAcentral lists this ribosomal RNA (2055 nucleotides) under Clostridioides difficile. RNAcentral describes it as "partial 23S ribosomal RNA". It matches the Rfam family "Bacterial large subunit ribosomal RNA", at positions 403 to 2477 of the family's 2925-position model. The record is from RNAcentral. Lineage: Bacteria; Bacillati; Bacillota; Clostridia; Peptostreptococcales; Peptostreptococcaceae.